Molecule: microRNA precursor, 85 nt
Filed under: Bombyx mori (domestic silkworm)
Lineage: Eukaryota; Metazoa; Arthropoda; Insecta; Lepidoptera; Bombycidae
Description: mir-2807 microRNA precursor family
Rfam family: mir-2807 microRNA precursor family
Source: Rfam by way of RNAcentral
UUAACUCAAAUUUGUAUGGAGUCGGAACAUCUUCCUUUCGUUUGCCGCUAGGGGCGCUGUUUCAACUCCAUACAGCUUGGACUUA